AUAUUGGACAAUGGGGGCAACCCUGAUCCAGCCAUGCCGCGUGUGUGAAGAAGGCCUUCGGGUCGUAAAACUCUGUCAUAGGGGAAGAAAAAGAUGACGGUACCCUAUGAGGAAGCCCCGGCUAACUACGUGCCAGCAGCCGCGGUAAUACGUAGGGGGCGAGCGUUGUCCGGAAUUACUGGGCGUAAAGGGUGCGCAGGCGGCCGAUUAAGGCAGAUGGGAAAUACCACGGCUCAACUGUGGGGGUGCAUUUGAAACUGGUUGGCUUGAGUGCAGGAGAGGAAAAUGGAAUUCCUAGUGUAGCGGUGAAAUGCGUAGAGAUUAGGAGGAAAACCAGUGGCGAAGGCGACUUUCUGGACUGUAACUGACGCUGAGGCACGAAAGCGUGGGGAGCGAAC
Molecule: ribosomal RNA, 398 nt
Filed under: uncultured bacterium
Lineage: Bacteria
Description: partial 16S ribosomal RNA
Rfam family: Bacterial small subunit ribosomal RNA
Source: RNAcentral